UGCAAACACAUGCAAGGUGUACCUGAAUACAAAAACAUUUAAUUAAAUAACAAACACAAAAAAACACUUUCUGUAUUGACUGUAACAAAAUUACAUUUUCAACGCAAGAAUAGUCAGUUACUUAAAUCUCAUGCAGUCGGUGAGAAACAAACUUUCCUAGAAUGAACUCACAGAUUAGGAAUGUAGCGGUUCAGUACUUGUUUGUAAACUCAGAUGUUGGGAGAGUGGGGGGGGAAUAAUUAAUAAUUUUGGGGAUGAGAAUAUUGGUGAGAAAAUAAAAGCUGUUCACAUUACACUCAACAAGGCAGUAAAACAACAGGUGAGUUAGCCAAACAGGUGAACACCACUAAUUUAAACAUUUAUGCUUGUGACAACAGUAGUAAAAUUCUAGAAAGCAUUCAAAUGUUCAAAAGUAUCCAGUCAAGCUAAACCAAGUUGAGUCCAGCUCAGCUAUCAUAUGUCAGGUAUCAAAAAUAAUAAACACAACAUGUCACUAGAUAAUGCUUCUGUGGCAACAAAAAAAAAAAA
Long non-coding RNA from Xiphophorus couchianus (Monterrey platyfish), 528 nucleotides. RefSeq lists it as uncharacterized. The transcript is spliced from 2 exons. The record is from RefSeq and is a predicted model, not a curated record. Lineage: Eukaryota; Metazoa; Chordata; Actinopteri; Cyprinodontiformes; Poeciliidae.